Molecule: ribosomal RNA, 484 nt
Filed under: uncultured bacterium
Lineage: Bacteria
Description: partial 16S ribosomal RNA
Rfam family: Bacterial small subunit ribosomal RNA
Source: RNAcentral
AUUGAACGCUGGCGGCAGGCCUAACACAUGCAAGUCGAGCGGAUGAAGGGAGCUUGCUCCUGGAUUCAGCGGCGGACGGGUGAGUAAUGCCUAGGAAUCUGCCUGGUAGUGGGGGAUAACGUCCGGAAACGGGCGCUAAUACCGCAUACGUCCUGAGGGAGAAAGUGGGGGAUCUUCGGACCUCACGCUAUCAGAUGAGCCUAGGUCGGAUUAGCUAGUUGGUGGGGUAAAGGCCUACCAAGGCGACGAUCCGUAACUGGUCUGAGAGGAUGAUCAGUCACACUGGAACGGAGACAGGGUCCAGACUCCUACGGGAGGCAGCAGUGGGGAAUAUUGGACAAUGGGCGAAAGCCUGAUCCAGCCGGGCCGCGUGUGUGAAGAAGGUCUUCGGAUUGUAAAGCACUUUAAGUUGGGAGGAAGGGCAGUAAGUUAAUACCUUGCUGUUUUGACGUUACCAACAGAAUAAGCACCGGCUAACUUCGUG